Molecule: unclassified non-coding RNA, 148 nt
Organism: Pongo abelii (Sumatran orangutan)
Lineage: Eukaryota; Metazoa; Chordata; Mammalia; Primates; Hominidae
Rfam family: Metazoan signal recognition particle RNA
About the family: The signal recognition particle (SRP) is a universally conserved ribonucleoprotein. It is involved in the co-translational targeting of proteins to membranes.
Source: Ensembl
GCCAGGUGCGGUGGUGCGCACCUGUAAUCUCAGCUACUCAGGAGGCUGAGACAGGAGAAUCACUUGAACCCGGGAGGUGGAGGUUGCAGUGAGUUGAGAUCGUGCCACUGCACUCCAGCCUGGGUGACAGAGUGAGACUCUGUCUCAA